This 468-nucleotide ribosomal RNA is filed under the name uncultured bacterium. RNAcentral's name for it is "partial 16S ribosomal RNA". It matches the Rfam family "Bacterial small subunit ribosomal RNA", at positions 28 to 507 of the family's 1533-position model. The record is from RNAcentral.
GACGAACGCUGGCGGCGUGCUUAACACAUGCAAGUCGAACGGAAAGGCCCUGCUUUUGUGGGGUGCUCGAGUGGCGAACGGGUGAGUAACACGUGAGUAACCUGCCCUUGACUUUGGGAUAACUUCAGGAAACUGGGGCUAAUACCGGAUAGGAGCUCCUGCUGCAUGGUGGGGGUUGGAAAGUUUCGGCGGUUGGGGAUGGACUCGCGGCUUAUCAGCUUGUUGGUGGGGUAGAGGCUUACCAAGGCUUUGACGGGUAGCCGGCCUGAGGGGGUGACCGGCCACAUUGGGACUGAGAUACGGCCAAGACUCCUACGGGAGGCAGCAGUGGGGAAUAUUGCACAAUGGGCGGAAGCCUGAUGCAGCAACGCCGCGUGCGGGAUGACGGCCUUCGGGUUGUAAACCGCUUUCGCCUGUGACGAAGCGUGAGUGACGGUAAUGGGUAAAGAAGCACCGGCUAACUACGUG